Aquila chrysaetos chrysaetos is the source of this 9311-nucleotide RNA transcript. It is a transcript of the gene named uridine monophosphate synthetase, with no coding region annotated. The record is from RefSeq and is a predicted model, not a curated record. The transcript is spliced from 7 exons. Lineage: Eukaryota; Metazoa; Chordata; Aves; Accipitriformes; Accipitridae.
GGCGGCGCGUAGCGGGAUGGCGGCGGCGGCGGGCCGCGUGGCGGCGGCGGCGCUGCGUGAGGCGGGCGCUCUGCGCUUUGGCGACUUCGUGCUGAAGAGCGGCCGGGCCUCCCCCGUCUACAUCGACCUGCGCGGCCUCAUCUCCCACCCGCUCCUCCUCCGCCAGGUUGCAGCUCUUCUCUUCCAAACAGCCAAAGAUGCUGGUCUGGAGUACGACUGUGUGUGCGGCGUUCCUUACACAGCACUGCCGUUGGCCACGAUUAUCUGCUCGGAAAAUCAGAUUCCAAUGCUUAUACGGAGGAAGGAAGCAAAAGACUACGGUACUAAGCGGCUGGUAGAAGGCACCAUUAAUCCAGGAGAAACAUGCUUGAUCAUUGAAGAUGUGGUAACAAGUGGAUCUAGUGUACUGGAAACUGCGGAAGUUCUUCAGAAAGAAGGAUUAAAAGUCACGGAUGCCAUAGUGCUGUUGGACAGGGAGCAGGGUGGGAAGGCCAGGUUAGAGGAACGUGGAAUUCGCCUGCAUUCUGUGUGCACGUUGUCUGGGGUGUUGGAGAUUCUCCAGCAGCAGGGAGAAGUGGCUGUUGAGAUGGUUGAAAAGGUGAAGAAAUUCAUUCAGGGAAAUGUGUUUGAGCCAGUGGCUCAGAACGGUCCUGCUCCUGUCAAGAGACUAUGUAAAGAGCUGAGCUUCAGUGCUCGUGCUGAGCUGCCGGGGGUACAUCCUAUUGCAGCCAGGCUUCUUGUGCUCAUGGAAAAGAAGCAAACAAACUUGUGCCUUUCUGCUGAUGUUACCAGCUCCAAAGAGCUGCUGCAGUUAGCUGCCAUCCUGGGCCCCAGCAUUUGUAUUCUGAAGACUCACAUAGACAUCCUGAAUGAUUUCACCCAGGAGGUAGUAAAGGAGCUGAGAACACUCGCAGAUCAACACGAAUUCCUGAUUUUUGAAGACAGGAAGUUUGCAGACAUUGGAAACACAGUGAAACAUCAAUAUGAAGGUGGUGUGUUCAGAAUCGCAUCCUGGUCAGACAUUGUUAAUGCCCACGUGGUUCCAGGCUCUGGAGUUGUGAAAGGUCUGAAGGAAGUCGGUCUUCCUCUCCAGCGUGGCUGUCUUCUGAUUGCCGAGAUGAGUUCCCAAGGGUCACUUGCAACGGGUGAAUACACAAAAGCUGCAGUACAGAUGGCUGAUGACAACUCAGAUUUUGUUUUUGGAUUCAUAUCUGGAUCUAGAGUUAGUAAUAAACCGGAAUUUCUUCACUUAACUCCAGGGGUGCAGCUGCAAACUGGAGGUGAUAACCUUGGACAGAAGUACCUAAGCCCCAAGGAAGUUAUUAGUGAAAAAGGUUCAGAUAUCAUUAUUGUGGGACGUGGCAUCUUGUCAGCUUCAGACCGUCUUCAAGAGGCAGAGAAGUACAGGAAGGCAGCUUGGGAGAGCUACAUAAGCAGACUUGGUACUCGUGCUGAAGUUUGAAAGCAGGCCACUUUCCUAGCCAAUAAGCAAAGCUGAUGGAGCCGCAAUCAUCGUGAGGCUUCCAGUUAAAUACAAAGACACUUCGGCCAAUAGAAAACUGCCCUUGUGGAGAAAAAUCUGUACUAACUAAAUUAUUUUUAAUCGCGCACACACAGAUCGAGUUGCACGUGCCGUGGUUGGGUUUUUUAACGCGUGAAACCAAAACUUCAUGCCCAGUUUUUAGCCUGAAUAGCUUUUCUCUGCUGAAAAAUGUUGCACGAAACACUCCAAGGGUGUCUGGUUGGCUGUUGUUGCUUUUGUUUCUUUUCCCCACCCUCAAAUUCUUUCUGUCUGUGGAAACAGUAUUUUACUGUUCUUAAUAAACUGCACCUGCAGAUCUGACCUGCUGCCCCACUCUCCCAGGAUUACUUGACUCUGCUAUUUCCAAGGAGCAAGUAUGGCUCUUAAUCCCACACUGUGAAAUUGAAUAAUGUGUUGUUUAAUAAAUACUUUUUUUGCUACUGUUUUCCUUUCAUUGGAUCUAUAACGCUUCCUUCUGUGGGAGUGUGAAAUUCUGUUUUCAGGACCCCAGUAUUAUAAAAAGUCAUUCUAGUGUUUGUGACUGCAGGAAUUACUCAUGAUUCUGUUUACAGGAGCUGCAAAGAAUUUGUCAGAGCAACUGGUUAUUGGAUGCUUAAUUACAGUGGAGCUGUUGAUUCCUCUGAUGAGAAACAAAAAUGUACUUUCUGUUUAUUGACUUUUUAUGACUAGCUGGAAUAAUUCUAGGAAUUACUUUCCACUUUUCAUGAUGAGUAAGGAGAAGUAGAAAUAUCUUGUAUGAUUGGGUUUGAUUAGAAAGGAUGGAAUAACCUUAGAACUAUCUAGUGUAUGUGUGGUAGAAAUCACCUUGAAUUUUCAUUGCUAUCAAGAAGGCAAAUAUGGUGUUGUGGUUCCUGUGCUGAUGCAAAGCACACAGAGGAAGCUGGGUCCCUUUGUUAAUAGAGUUACCUGUAGACUAGGAACAGCUCUAUCUAGCCUUGCUGUCUGGGUGUGUUGGGGGUGAUGACUUUACCUUUUCACACUCCAGUCUUGGAAGUGUACUUCCACUCCCCUUGAUGACAGUGCUGCUUAUGGGGCUUAGGAGUUGGUUAUUUUGGUGAGAAUAUUAGAACUUGGUGUAUGUGGUUUGUUUUCCAUGGGGCUACCGUUUACUUCAACAGUCUUAUGCAUCAUAAUUUACAUCUGGAGAACUCUAGCUAGGGAACAUGGAGGCUCUCUUAGCCACCUUUCACAGCUGGAACUUGAUGAGUGUGUUGUAUCUUGUGCAGCCAGCCUGCAACAGUCUGUGAGUCGUCAUACUUCACAUCAACUUCUAAGAAGUUCCAGUUCUUCAAAGUGAACGGAGGAUUUGGGGUUGUUUACUGUGUCAUCUUAAUUAUCUCGUGGCCUUGAGGCCUGCAGCAGAAACAAGACUUUCUCACUUAAAAUGUUUUGCAGGAAACUGCUUUUUCCACCAGAGGGAGCUGAGACUCUAUUUUUCAGAAGAGUCGAUGUACUAGCUCUUUUACAGCUAAUAGUUUCCGAUGAUGAUACCAACUCUAGAUAUGUUUAGGAUGAAAAUCUGUCUGGUUUUCAACAAGUUACACCCUUGCUGAUGCCCUCAUUUAAAAUAGUAGAGUUUACCAGAAAACUGCCUCAGGCUGGAGUUGAGCAUUGUAUGUUGUAGGUUCACUGUUGCAGUACAAGAUGAGUUUAGUAUUUUCCACUAACUAUGCUGAAUCGGGUUAAGCGGGUGGCUGACUUCCAUGCAGCUAAAUCCCUGAGCAGGCUCUUUGGAGAGCUAGUUUAUCAGGCCUCUGGCUGAAAAAAUAGCAACCAGAUUUGGAGAGACGGAUGUGAUCUAAUAUCCAGCCACUUUUAGACAAUACGUGCAACUCAUUUUAUUACCAAAACAACUUCUGAGGAACAGAUUGAUUGGAAAACUUCAUUUCACAGUCCUUCAUUGUGGACUCAAUAAAUCAUCCAGAAAGAGCUGUAUUUUGGUGCUUCAUUUGACACCAAUGUUGCAAACGUUUCAAUUAGCAAAACAAAAAACGUUACCUCCUAUAUGCAUUCUUCUGUCAGAGUGAUUAUAGUAAACAAGCGUGUGCACUUUCUUUGAGGCACCUGAAAGUGAUUAAAAAUCCAUUUCAAAUUAAGGACAAAUGUUAAUUUCCUUGCUUGCCCCUGCUGCUCGCAUUCAUCGCGUAGUUCCUGCUGUUGGUCCCAACUGUUCCUAACAUGGGAACUAGGUCACAAUUUACAAAACUCAUUUGCAUCAUAAUAUAUGAAUCUGAAAGUCUUGCAGUUCAUUCUCUGAUCUAAUCGAGUCUGGGAUAGAGGCAUAAGGCUAUAUUUAAAUUACUGGGUUAUCACAUGACUUAUAUUAUCUGGCAAGUAGGUGUUUAUAUGAAAUUGUGAUCCUUAAUCCACUCUGGAGUAUGGUUUAUAACAGAAUGAAAGGAUAUCACACUUUUCAUAGUGAAAUAAGACUGCGAUCAAGCGUUGUCAGUGCUUGCAACAGAAAAAAGGCUGACUUGCUGCUGUUUCUGAGCAGUGUAGCGGGGACUGUGAGAGACCAGCACAAGCUGGAACCAUUAAGGAAUUGUUAGGUAGCUUUUGAUAUUUGUAUGUAAAGUUCACUCUAUCUAUCUCUGUCUAGCAUGAGGAGUGCUGUGUCAAGAGAACCCAGCCUGUGGACUUUAAUUGGUGUAACUGCAUAAGUGCAGUGCUUGACUCAGACUUAAAAUUCUUGCAAAAUCUUGAUACCCCCAGCACUGAAUUAAAACCAGCCAAGUUAAAUUUUUUUGUUCUUAGAAGUAUGAUUUGUAUGUCACAGUAUCAACAUUGCUUUAUUAACUAGUAACUGACAUGUCAUAUUAUAGUUUCCAUUGCCUAUUCUAUGAAAAUUUAUUUAAGACUUAAUCCCAGAAAAAUAACUGAAUCACUUCCCUUUAAAUUUACAUGGAAAGCCUGUUGCUGUGGAUUUUUUUAGCAAGCGACACAAACAUUGCAUUUAGGGAACGGGACCAAAGGAAUGUGAAACACCCCGGGGGAAGUUUGUUUUCAGAUUUGACUUUUGGAGGUCACUGUCUCACAGAAAUGAUCUGUUUCAGAAGGCUUGUAACGACUGUGGGCUAGACAGGCUGGAUGUUUGGUUUGUUUGUAAUCACUCUGUUGGUUCUUGGUCGGUCUGUACCACAGUGGCAAGUACAGCCUCAUGUUCGAAUGCUGCAGCAAAUUAAAACUCAGCCUGGUGCCUCCCCCAGCUUCAGGUUUUUCUCUAACUCUCUUAGCAGGCAUUUGCUGGCUGGGAGUGGUGACCCUGCCUGCGUGUCUGGGUUGACUUUGUCCUCAGUCUUGGUUCUCUGUUUCUGCAUGACCCUCGUCCUCCUCUGAACUUUUUCUCAUAAGCUGAUGCUAUCCACAGUCAGGCUGUGAAAAGGCAGGGUUGUAGGUGGAGGCUGGCCAGUGCAGAGAACAGGAGGAAGCCCGAGCAAGGCUGUAACUGUGAAGUUCUUGCUUGUAGCAUGGUCAUGGUCUCCUGAGCAGAAGUGUGGUGGUAUGCCAUAGGUUGUGUUUAGCCCAAAUAGGUGUUGCAGGAGGAGAAGCUAAGCUAGUGCAGUCACUUUUGAUCUGUUCCUGAACAGCUAAUAGUAGCUAUACAGAAGAUACUUUCACAAACAGGACUAUUUAGAUGGAGAAAUUCUGCAGUGUUCCCUGCAGCUGAUCAUUUCUGCUUUGCUGAGAGGUAUCAUUUUAGGCUGAUGAUGGGAGCAGCCAUAAAGGCGACCUGGUUAUAAGAGGGAAAAUAUUGAACAGAAGAUGACCUCUGCUCAAAUACUGACAGAGAAAAUGCCUGCCAGCCUAGGAACCAGAAGCGUCCUUGAGGUGUGCAGCUGGCAUCUUUGAAGUGCAGCUGGACACCGAGAAACCAGAGACAUCCCGAGAUACCACUGAUAAGUGCAAAAACAAGGAACUGUAACAGCAACUUAUCGUCUGGAAAGGUGAAAAAAAAAGUCUGGAAAAGGGGGAAAACAUUCUGAGAAAGUGAACGUUGGUAACUGCUAUUGGCUGUUCUAACUCACAGAACAGAAAAACAGUCUGAUAAAACAAAAAUUGGUCUGAGAGAAUAGAAAACAUCACCAGUUAUUGGUUGUGCCAGGUGGAAAACAGAAAUUAGCAGCAUCUAUUGGCUGUUCCAGGUGGUGGUGUCCUACGCCCCUUUAUGUCUCUGUGAUAAAAAAAAGGACUUACUUUUUACCCAAAAUGCAGCCUCUUUCCUGCACACGAACCCCUGUUCCACACGACAUUUCCUCGGCAGAGCGGACCCUCAGCAGGGACACCGGGCUGACUCCGGCUCCGUGAUGCAGCUCAUCGUCCAAGUGAGACUUCAUCCGUUGUCGACUGGCCCCGCUUCUGGGAUGGGUUUGAUUGGCCCCACUGCUGGGAUCGGUUUGAGGAGCACUUGGUACCGGUCACCCUAACUGCAACAUCAGAAACCAGAAAUGCAGAUCAUUCUCCCUGGAUUUUGGUCCUACCUUAUGCAUUGUACUGAUUUGGCAAGUUGGCAUGAAAUGAAACAACAUCAUGAGAACUUUUUUCUUUCUUACAAUUGUUAUAAUAUAACAAUAUACACAGUGAUUGGAUCCUAUCUAGUAAUUACUAUAUUGCUCGUUCCCUUAUCUCAAGGAUGUAAUAGCAAUCACGUUUUUCAAUUUACAAAUACAAGUUCUCAAGUGGGCAAUGAAUUGGAUUGUUGGUAUUGCUUACACCACCCUCAAUCAUUAGAUGCCAAAUUUUGGUGGUUAGCAGAACCUGUCCCUGAAGCAUCUUGGUAUCAACCUAAUUUGGCACACUUACUCCCCAAUACACCAAAUUAUUGACAACAACCUUUCAAAGAGUGUUCAUAUCAUAAGGCCCCAUGGUGCCUUACAUGCCCCAGGACACAAAUUCAAUUUGGAUGGGAAGACAAGCAUUUGUAAUUACACUUUGUAUUACAAUCACACCCAAGCAUGGUUUCAAUGUCAAUGUGACAGAACACAAGCUUGUAUUGAUGCUGGAAACCUCAUGGACCUGAAAUAAUGAAUCAGCAAUUACAAACAAAGGUGUUUUUAAUGGAUUCUGGCAUCUUACAUGGAACAUUAAUAACGCAAAUUGUCAAAGAAACUAUAAUCUCACCGGUCGUAAUUCUACAUGCUGUUGUCUACAGAGUAAUGGUUGGCUUAGUACUAAUGAUAAUUGGGACAUAUGUGGCCCAAGCAACAUAUCUGGCUGUAUAGAUCAUAAUCCCUUUUGGACACUCCAAUUAAUGUGCUUAAUGAAAUAAUUGAAUUGUUUUUCUAAUCCAUGGUGUUCUUUCUGCAAACAUGGCAGUGACUUUGGGUGAAGCUGGUGGCUGACAUUUUAACAUCUGGAUGGUUCUGGCUUUGCGGCACUAAUGUCUCCAAGAGUCUACCACCACAGCAGACAGGCACCUGUACCAUAACACGUCUUGCUCCUUCAGCAUUUUGCUCUCAAGAUUUGAAAUUUAACUUCCAACACAACCAUUACCCUGUAGGUAAUCAGGGCAGAGUGUCUAAACCCACAGUAACGAGGCCAUCUAAGUUUCCUCAGUUUGUACGUGCACCAUUUCCAAACUUGGGUGUCACUGAAUUAGAACAAGCUGUUAUUAGUAUUUCUGCUACACUUGAAAUUACCCAAAAUGCUACUGUGGAUGUUUUAAAGAACCUACAGAUGAAGAUUAACUCACUCUUACAAUUGGCUACUGUCACAGGUGAAUUAUUAAUCAUUGUUGUGUGGUUAACUAAAAGGGUUUUAUUAAUGAUUAAAUGGUGAUCAAAAGGUAAUUAAUUGAUGAUUGAAUGAAAAUCAAAUGGUAAUCAAAUGAUGACUGAGCAUUACACAUUAAUUAAAUAGUGAUUUAACAAUGAUCUGACAAUGAUUUAAAAGAUGAUUUAGACAGUGUUUAGACGAUAAUUUAGACAAUUUAGGCAGUGGUAAAACAAUCGACUACUUACUACACUUCUAAUAAUUAAGCUAGAGAUGGAUAUAGAGAUGUUGCUAGCAUACAAUAUACCUUUAGGCCUAAUGUAAAAUGUCGCUUAACUCGUUAUAGACAUCAGAUGCUGGGUAAGGGGUGUCUCAAUCUUGAGCAGUAACCUUGCUCCCUGCUGAAGGGGAGAUCACCUCUGUGCAGCCUGCUGCCAUGCAGCAGAGCUCAGUGGGCUCACAGUUUGCGUGGCAGGGCUGAUUUCAGUCGGGGCUGCUUGCUGGUGGUGCCUGAACCAAGGUACUGCUCACUCAGUCCCAGUGGGUGCACCCGACACAGCUACCCACAUUCACUGGGCCUUGGAUUAUCUUUUAGGCUCUCAAAGGGGUAUUUGUGUGUUGAUGAAUAGUACCCAUUGCUUCUCCACUAACAAAGUCAAACAAAUGGAAUGUGAAGUGAAUUUUAUUCAGCAACAUGUCCACCAAAUAGCCCAAGAGCAGCCCCUGCCCAGGGCUGGCCGUGGCCUUUGCCUUAGCUGCCAGACCCUGCAGCAUGGGCACGGCACUUCUCAGUGACAUUAACUCUCAUCCUAGCUGUAGGAUUUGUGCUUUUCUGCAGCGCCUCUCAUAUCAAAGCGCUGCCUGUAUCACUUUUAUCCCAACCGGUACUGUACACUUGUGCUUCAACCAACAAACCCCCUCAGAAGUUGCAAUAACUUUGGGCCCGACACGGCCAUGAGUCUCCUCCACCUCACGCAUUAGGAGGCAAAAGAGACGCAGCAGGCAGGGUGUAGUCUCACUCCUAGUGACCCAUCAGUGGUCGUAGGCCAAGGGGUCGAGUGAUGGGAACAGCCAAAAAGGCAGUCUGGUUAUAAGGGGAAAAAUAUUGAACAGAAGAAGACCGCUGCUCAAAUACUGAUGGAGAAAAUGCCUGCCAGCCUGGGAACCAGAAGUGUCCUUGAGGAGCACAGCUGGCAUCUUUGAAGGGCAUCUGAGUACUGAGAAAUCGGAGACAUCUCGAGAUACUACUGAUGUGAACUACAAAAACAAGGACCUGUAACAGCAACUUAUCAUCUGGAAAGGUGAAAAAGAAGUCUGGAAAAGGGGGAAAACAUCCUGACAAAGGAAGAGUCAGUAACUGCCAUUGGCUAUUCUAACUGGCAGAAGAGAAAUACAGUUUGGAAAUAGAAAAAUUCAUCCAAGAGAAUAGAAAACAUCAUUUAUUGACUGUGCCAGGUGAAAAAUAGAAAUGUGCAGCAUCUAUUGGCUUUUCCAUGUGGUGGUGUCCUCCAAUCUCAUAUGUCUCUGUGAUAUAAAAAAGGAUUUACUUUUUACCCAAAACGGAGCCUCUUUCUCUGAGAAAUGCCUGAGUACAACCCCCAAUUCCCCAUGAUACUUCCUCGACAGAGCAGACCCUCGCCAGGGAUACCAGGCUUACUCCGGGCUCCGUGAUGCAGAUCAUCGACCCAGGGACACUUUGUCUGAUUGGCCCCACUUCUGGGAUGGGUUUGAUGAGCAUUGAUGAGCACUUGGUACUGGUAACUUUAUACAUAUAUAUAUAUAUAUAUAUAUAUGUAUAUAUAUAUGUAUAUGUAUAUAUACACACAGGCAUGCAUGUAAGUAAUUACUGAUAAGUAUAUUUGCUGCUUUACUAGUGGUAAUUCUGUAGUAACUUGUAAUAUUGCAAUACAGACUUGCUACUAAUAUUGAUUGUGCUAUUGUUGAAAUAUAUAUUUGCUUUCUGGUAGUAAUCUGUAGUAUACAUAUACUGAUCAUAAGUGUACUUGCCUUGAUAGUGAUGACCUGUAGUAAAAUGCAAUAAAGUAAUUUCAGAAGUUAA